UACGUAGGGUCCGUGCGUUGUCCGGAAUUACUGGGCGUAAAGAGCUCGUAGGUGGUUUGUCGCGUUGUUCGUGAAAACUCACAGCUCAACUGUGGGCGUGCGGGCGAUACGGGCAGACUUGAGUACUGCAGGGGAGACUGGAAUUCCUGGUGUAGCGGUGGAAUGCGCAGAUAUCAGGAGGAACACCGGUGGCGAAGGCGGGUCUCUGGGCAGUAACUGACGCUGAGGAGCGAAAGCGUGGGGAGCGAACAGG
Molecule: ribosomal RNA, 253 nt
Filed under: uncultured bacterium
Lineage: Bacteria
Description: partial 16S ribosomal RNA
Rfam family: Bacterial small subunit ribosomal RNA
Source: RNAcentral